Molecule: non-coding RNA, 718 nt
Organism: Meleagris gallopavo (turkey)
Lineage: Eukaryota; Metazoa; Chordata; Aves; Galliformes; Phasianidae
Source: RefSeq, a predicted model, not a curated record
UUGUAGCUGGAACACGGGAAAAAAAUCAUUAUGCUGCAUGGAGAGGUGACAAGAUGAUCUGAUAAGACCCUUGAGCUGCACAGAAUCUCAUAUGAGACAUGAAGACUGCAGAGAAUCUUAUCACAACUAAUGAGAGGCUAUAUGCAGACAAAAGACCAAGCUGGAAGCCAUGAGAAGGCAACUGAAAAUCAUGAAUUGAGAAGAAUUCUGCUUUUGUAUGUAAACAAAUGUGAUGUUAUGCAUGUGAAAACAUGAAAGAGUCAUUCCAUCUAGGCAGCUUGCCUUAGAAACUACAAGCUUAUGCAACUGAAAAAAAAAAAAAAGGUAGAAAUGACUUGUUCAGACAAGGAAGGAGAUAGCUAAUUAAAUUUAUACUUAAUGAAAUUAAGAAAACAAGCAGAGUAACAAAUUUUUUAAUGGUGAAUAUGGGAAUACAAUGAAAGGUGAAAAAAGAAAGCUAACAUGAAGGCAUAUCUCAGUUUGGAGGAAGAUUUCUACUCUUGUCUGAAGAAAACUUACUUUAGGAAAUAAACCUGAAAGCCAUGAACAAACUACAGUUUUAUUUCUCUUAGUAGCAGUGUUUUCCUUUUUAAACCCAAUAUACCUGUUUUAUAAAACAAACUUUUUCCUACUUUUAUAUGUGCGAAAUAGAAUUUCCUACUUUUAUCAGUGCGAAAUAGAAUUAAAUUGCUCCAGCACCAAUUGGGAGUAGAUGUGG